UCAAGCGAACAAGUGCAUGUGGUGGAUGCCUUGGCGAUCACAGGCGAUGAAGGACGCGGUAGCCUGCGAAAAGCUUCGGGGAGCUGGCAAACAAGCUUUGAUCCGGAGAUGUCCGAAUGGGGAAACCCGGCCCGAAUGGGUCAUCCCACACUGAAUCCAUAGGUGUGGGAAGCGAACGCGGCGAACUGAAACAUCUAAGUAGCUGCAGGAACAGAAAUCAACCGAGAUUCCCAAAGUAGUGGCGAACGAAAUGGGAUGAGCCUUGUACUCUUUAGCAGUGGUGUUAGCAGAACGGGAUGGAAAGCCCGGCCCUAGCAGGUGAUAGCCCUGUAUGCGAAAACAGCGUUGUGGAACUAGGUGUACGACAAGUAGGGCGGGACACGUGAAAUCCUGUCUGAAGAUGGGGGGACCAUCCUCCAAGGCUAAAUACUCGUGAUCGACCGAUAGUGAACCAGUACCGUGAGGGAAAGGCGAAAAGAACCCCGGGAGGGGAGUGAAAUAGAUCCUGAAACCGCAUGCAUACAAACAGUCGGAGCCUCUUCGGGGGUGACGGCGUACCUUUUGUAUAAUGGGUCAGCGACUUACAUUCAGUGGCAAGCUUAACCGAUUAGGGAAGGCGUAGCGAAAGCGAGUCCGAACAGGGCGUUGAGUCGCUGGGUGUAGACCCGAAACCAGAUGAUCUAUCCAUGGCCAGGUUGAAGGUGCGGUAACACGUACUGGAGGACCGAACCCACUAACGUUGAAAAGUUAGGGGAUGAGCUGUGGAUAGGGGUGAAAGGCUAAACAAAUCUGGAAAUAGCUGGUUCUCUCCGAAAACUAUUUAGGUAGUGCCUCGUGUCUCACCUUCGGGGGUAGAGCACUGUCAUGGUUGGGGGGUCUAUUGCUGAUUACCCCGCCAUAGCAAACUCCGAAUACCGAAGAGUGCAAUCACGGGAGACAGACAUCGGGUGCUAACGUCCGGUGUCAAGAGGGAAACAACCCAGACCGCCAGCUAAGGUCCCCAAAUAUAGCUAAGUGGGAAACGAAGUGGGAAGGCUAAAACAGUCAGGAGGUUGGCUUAGAAGCAGCCACCCUUUAAAGAAAGCGUAAUAGCUCACUGAUCGAGUCGUCCUGCGCGGAAGAUGUAACGGGGCUAAGCUAUAUACCGAAGCUGCGGACGCACGCAAGUGCGUGGUAGGAGAGCGUUCUGUAAGCCUGUGAAGGUGUCUUGUAAAGGAUGCUGGAGGUAUCAGAAGUGCGAAUGCUGACAUGAGUAGCGAUAAAGGGGGUGAAAGGCCCCCUCGCCGUAAGCCCAAGGUUUCCUACGCAACGUUCAUCGGCGUAGGGUGAGUCGGCCCCUAAGGCGAGGCAGAGAUGCGUAGCUGAUGGGAAGCAGGUUAAUAUUCCUGCACCGUCGUAUGAUGCGAUGGGGGGACGGAUCGCGGAAGGUUGUCCGGGUGUUGGAAGUCCCGGUCCCUGCAUUGGAGAAGGCGCUCAGGCAAAUCCGGGCGCGGGAUUCAAGGAUGUGGGGCGAGCGGCCUAGUGCUGCGAAGCAAUUGGAAGUGGUUCCAAGAAAAGCCUCUAAGCUUCAGUCAUACGAGACCGUACCGCAAACCGACACAGGUGGGCGAGAUGAGUAUUCUAAGGCGCUUGAGAGAACUCGGGAGAAGGAACUCGGCAAAUUGGUACCGUAACUUCGGGAUAAGGUACGCCCUGGUAGCUUGACUGGCCUGCGCCAGAAGGGUGAAGGGGUUGCAAUAAAAUGGUGGCUGCGACUGUUUAAUAAAAACACAGCACUCUGCAAACACGAAAGUGGACGUAUAGGGUGUGACGCCUGCCCGGUGCCGGAAGAUUAAAUGAUGGGGUGCAAGCUCUUGAUUGAAGUCCCGGUAAACGGCGGCCNGCGUGGUAGGAGAGCGUUCUGUAAGCCUGUGAAGGUGUCUUGUAAAGGAUGCUGGAGGUAUCAGAAGUGCGAAUGCUGACAUGAGUAGCGAUAAAGGGGGUGAAAGGCCCCCUCGCCGUAAGCCCAAGGUUUCCUACGCAACGUUCAUCGGCGUAGGGUGAGUCGGCCCCUAAGGCGAGGCAGAGAUGCGUAGCUGAUGGGAAGCAGGUUAAUAUUCCUGCACCGUCGUAUGAUGCGAUGGGGGGACGGAUCGCGGAAGGUUGUCCGGGUGUUGGAAGUCCCGGUCCCUGCAUUGGAGAAGGCGCUCAGGCAAAUCCGGGCGCGGGAUUCAAGGAUGUGGGGCGAGCGGCCUAGUGCUGCGAAGCAAUUGGAAGUGGUUCCAAGAAAAGCCUCUAAGCUUCAGUCAUACGAGACCGUACCGCAAACCGACACAGGUGGGCGAGAUGAGUAUUCUAAGGCGCUUGAGAGAACUCGGGAGAAGGAACUCGGCAAAUUGGUACCGUAACUUCGGGAUAAGGUACGCCCUGGUAGCUUGACUGGCCUGCGCCAGAAGGGUGAAGGGGUUGCAAUAAAAUGGUGGCUGCGACUGUUUAAUAAAAACACAGCACUCUGCAAACACGAAAGUGGACGUAUAGGGUGUGACGCCUGCCCGGUGCCGGAAGAUUAAAUGAUGGGGUGCAAGCUCUUGAUUGAAGUCCCGGUAAACGGCGGCCGUAACUAUAACGGUCCUAAGGUAGCGAAAUUCCUUGUCGGGUAAGUUCCGACCUGCACGAAUGGCGUAACGAUGGCCACACUGUCUCCUCCCGAGACUCAGCGAAGUUGAAGUGUUUGUGAUGAUGCAAUCUCCCCGCGGCUAGACGGAAAGACCCCAUGAACCUUUACUGUAGCUUUGCAUUGGACUUUGAACCGAUCUGUGUAGGAUAGGUGGGAGGCUUUGAAGCGUGGACGCUAGUUCACGUGGAGCCGUCCUUGAAAUACCACCCUGGUUUGUUUGAGGUUCUAACCUUGGCCCGUGAAUCCGGGUCGGGGACAGUGCAUGGUAGGCAGUUUGACUGGGGCGGUCUCCUCCCAAAGUGUAACGGAGGAGUUCGAAGGUACGCUUGGUACGGUCGGACAUCGUACCUAAAGUGCAAUGGCAAAAGCGUGCUUAACUGCGAGACCGACAAGUCGAGCAGGUGCGAAAGCAGGACAUAGUGAUCCGGUGGUUCUGAAUGGAAGGGCCAUCGCUCAACGGAUAAAAGGUACUCUGGGGAUAACAGGCUGAUACCGCCCAAGAGUUCAUAUCGACGGCGGUGUUUGGCACCUCGAUGUCGGCUCAUCUCAUCCUGGGGCUGUAGCCGGUCCCAAGGGUAUGGCUGUUCGCCAUUUAAAGAGGUACGUGAGCUGGGUUUAAAACGUCGUGAGACAGUUUGGUCCCUAUCUGCCGUGGGCGUUGGAAUCUUGACGGGGGCUGCUCCUAGUACGAGAGGACCGGAGUGGACGUACCGCUGGUGUACCUGUUGUCUCGCCAGAGGCAUCGCAGGGUAGCUAUGUACGGAAGAGAUAACCGCUGAAAGCAUCUAAGCGGGAAACUCGCCUGAAGAUGAGGAUUCCCUGGAGGCUUGACCUCCUUGAAGGGUCGUUCGAGACCAGGACGUUGAUAGGCUGGGUGUGGAAGCGCAGUAAUGCGUUAAGCUAACCAGUACUAAUUGCCCGUAAGGCUUGAUCCU
RNAcentral lists this ribosomal RNA (3591 nucleotides) under Cupriavidus taiwanensis. Its description in RNAcentral is "bacterial LSU rRNA". It matches the Rfam family "Bacterial large subunit ribosomal RNA". The record is from RNAcentral. Lineage: Bacteria; Pseudomonadati; Pseudomonadota; Betaproteobacteria; Burkholderiales; Burkholderiaceae.